Non-coding RNA from Schistosoma margrebowiei, 45 nucleotides. Lineage: Eukaryota; Metazoa; Platyhelminthes; Trematoda; Strigeidida; Schistosomatidae. The record is from Rfam.
AUCCAGAUGAAAAGUCCCAAAUAGGACGAAACUCUCCUCCUGGAU